RNAcentral lists this long non-coding RNA (371 nucleotides) under Chrysemys picta bellii (western painted turtle). RNAcentral describes it as "lncRNA (ENSCPBG00000022235.1)". Lineage: Eukaryota; Metazoa; Chordata; Testudines; Emydidae. The record is from RNAcentral.
AGGGAGUCGUGGUACAAGCUGUCUGCGGGGACUGCGAAAUGGCCCUCGACAAAGUCUCAGGACUGGGUCCGCCAGAUUCUGAGUCGGCAGAAGGGAUAUAAUUCUACCCACAACAGGAGAGACAUCGCCAAGGUGAAUAUCUUCUACCAGCAAUUGAACUACCAGUCUGUGGAUGAAUCUCCAGUGUACACAGUAAGUAGUACUGGAUCAGCUCAUUGCUUUAGUCUUCAUUCCUGACUCUCAUAAUGGCCAACAUCUGACGCUUCUGAGGGAAGAUGCAAAUGGCUGGGGAGAAUUUCCUUCCUGACCCUAACAUGGGAUCAGAUUAUGCCCUGAAGCAUGGGGUUAAAUAAAAUCACAAGAUAUUAUCA